GGUUGAUUGAAUAAAAUAAACUUCUUCCAGAGAAUUAGCACAAGUACACUGGGGACUUGAGCAGCUUCUACAAAUGGCUGAGAAACGAAGCUGCAUGCCUGAUGAUACAAGUGCUUUUCAAGCUUGGAAAAAUGAAGAAAUAGACUGGAGUAAAAAGUGAUGGCUCAAUCCCCCAUAGUGCACUGGGGUUCCAAAGUGAGGUCUGGUGCAUAGGAUCUUAAGAGGAAGAGGGGAAAAAGGUAAAUUCAGUGUUUAACACUUAAUUGUCACCUGAAACCUUAAGUGCAAAUAUUUGCACCGUUUUCUGAAGCAGUGGACAGGUGCAUAAAGCUGUAUUAUAUAUAGAAAGCAAGUAGGUGACGUACAGUUGGGUCAUAGGAUAAUUACAAUGAAGGUUAUUUGCCUACUGUAUAUUUGUGUAUUUAGUGUAAUUACUUUGUAAAAUAGAGAACUGUAACUAUUUAGGUUGUACAGAUUGAAGUUUAGUUGUUUCAUUGGCUGAUCUGAAGAAGUUUGGAAAGUUUUUUUUUAUGCUACAUAAAUAAGAAUGCACCUACACAACUGUUCAGAAUUUGGCAGAUUUAUGCUGUUUGUGUAACUUCUGAAGUUCCCUGGCUGCUGGUUAUCUUGAAGUAAAUCUUUGUUCAUUGUAGUUUGGUUCAAGACAGGAAAAACCACUCCAAAAAAUUAUCAAACCCUGCUAGCAAAGAAUUUAAAAAAAAAAAAAAAAUUGGAUUUCCCAGUAUGGAUUUUUUGCAUAUGAUCUGUAUAGUAGUAUGCAUAUGUUUUUGUGCAUGUUCUCUAAACAGUUGUAUCACGUCAAUGUAUUUAACUAUUGCACUUGUCAACUUUCAAUAAAGCAUACAAUGUUGAUAAA
Pterocles gutturalis (yellow-throated sandgrouse) is the source of this 877-nucleotide long non-coding RNA. RefSeq lists it as uncharacterized. The transcript has 2 exons. The record is from RefSeq and is a predicted model, not a curated record. Lineage: Eukaryota; Metazoa; Chordata; Aves; Pterocliformes; Pteroclidae.